This 429-nucleotide ribosomal RNA is filed under the name uncultured archaeon. RNAcentral describes it as "bacterial SSU rRNA". It matches the Rfam family "Archaeal small subunit ribosomal RNA", at positions 474 to 903 of the family's 1478-position model. The record is from RNAcentral.
UACCAGCUCUCCGAGUGGUAGGGAUGAUUAUUGGGCUUAAAGCGUCCGUAGCCGGCUUAGCAAGUCUCCUGUUAAAUUCAGCGACCUAAUCGUUGAGCCGCGGGAGAUACUACUAGGCUAGGAGGCGGGAGAGGUCAACGGUACUUCCGGGGUAGGGGUGAAGUCCUAUAAUCCCGGGAGGGCCACCAGUGGCGAAGGCUGUUGACUAGAACGCGCUCGACGGUGAGGGACGAAAGCUGGGGGAGCGAACCGGAUUAGAUACCCGGGUAGUCCCAGCUGUAAACGAUGCGAGCUAGGUGUUGGGGUGGCUACGUGCCACUUCAGUGCCGCAGGGAAGCCAUUAAGCUCGCCGCCUGGGGAGUACGGCCGCAAGGCUGAAACUUAAAGGAAUUGGCGGGGGAGCACCACAAGGCGUGAAGCUUGCGGUUC